AAGCAGCGGAGCGUGUGGUUUAAUUCGAUGCAACACGAAGAACCUUACCAGGGCUGACAUGUUAGAAGUAGGAACCCGAAAGGGGACGACCAGUAUCCAGUCUGGAGCUAACACAGGUGCUGCAUGGCUGUCGUCAGCUCGUGCCGUGAGGUGUAUGGUUAAGUCCCACAACGAGCGCAACCCUCGUCGCUAGUUAAUUUCCCUAGCGAGACCGCCUCGCAAAACGAGGAGGAAGGUGGGGAUGGCGUCAAGUCAGCAUGGCCUUUAUACCCUGGGCGACACACACGCUACAAUGGGUGGUACAGUAGGUAGCGAAGGAGCGAUCCGGAGCAAAUCUUUAAAACCAUCCUCAGUACGGAUUGCAGGCUGAAACCCGCCUGCAUGAAGCCGGAGUUGCUAGUAACCGCAGGUCAGCUAUACUGCGGUGAAUACGUUCCCGGGCCUU
This 445-nucleotide ribosomal RNA is filed under the name uncultured Chloroflexota bacterium. RNAcentral's name for it is "bacterial SSU rRNA". It matches the Rfam family "Bacterial small subunit ribosomal RNA", at positions 927 to 1382 of the family's 1533-position model. Lineage: Bacteria; Bacillati; Chloroflexota. The record is from RNAcentral.